GACGAACGCUGGCGGCGUGCUUAACACAUGCAAGUCGAGCGGUAAGGCUCCUUCGGGAGUACACGAGCGGCGAACGGGUGAGUAACACGUGAGCAAUCUGCCCUUCACUUCGGGAUAACUCCGGGAAACCGGUGCUAAUACCGAAUACGACCACUUCAGGCAUCUGAUGGUGGUGGAAAGUUCCGGCGGUGAAGGAUGAGCUCGCGGCCUAUCAGCUUGUUGGUGGGGUAANGGCCCACCAAGGCAACGACGGGUAGCCGGCCUGAGAGGGUGACCGGCCACACUGGGACUGAGACACGGCCCAGACUCCUACGGGAGGCAGCAGUGGGGAAUAUUGGACAAUGGGCAAAGCCUGAUCCAGCAACGCCGCGUGAGGGAUGACGGCCU
RNAcentral lists this ribosomal RNA (387 nucleotides) under uncultured bacterium. Its description in RNAcentral is "bacterial SSU rRNA". It matches the Rfam family "Bacterial small subunit ribosomal RNA", at positions 28 to 417 of the family's 1533-position model. The record is from RNAcentral.